Molecule: long non-coding RNA, 1038 nt
Organism: Nomascus leucogenys (northern white-cheeked gibbon)
Lineage: Eukaryota; Metazoa; Chordata; Mammalia; Primates; Hylobatidae
Exons: 4
Source: RefSeq, a predicted model, not a curated record
AAGGUUGGGCCAGGGUAUGAGUUAUAUCAAUGGCUUUUUUCUUUCAGAGAUUCAUGUUCUGGAGAAAUGAAAAUGCUGUCUCAGUGGAAUGUUGAUUAGCUGGAGUGGAGACCCAAGAUCUCUGUCCAGGCAGGGCCAUCAAGAGAGUUUGGGAUGAAUUUCUUUAAUUGCUUCUCUAAGAUUGAUGCUUGGUGAUGUGACAUUAAAAUUUUGACCAAGUGAAGCUUCUCAAUUUGUGUACCUAAUUCAAGCAUGUACAACAAGAAGUCAUGAUAGGAAAGUGCCCUUGAUUCAUUUUACAAAUAAAAAUUCCAAGGGCUGUGAUGAGAGUCAUUAUAUGUGCAGAGACUUAUAAAAAGAUAUUAAGAAAGUCUCACUUUUCAGUUUAUUAAAAAUGGAAUUGAAAUGCUUCUUGGUGAGACAUUGGAAUCUGAAACCUCAAAAUGACCUGAAGAAUGCCAAGUACGUAAUUCUAGUUUUCAAUUCCUCAGGCAGAACAUAGAAGUGCUCUUGACUUUCUAAAAUCUGCACAUCUCCAACUUUUCUUUUAGCUAGAGGCGGCCCUGUGAUUGAUGAGUGACCAGCCAUGUGUGGAGAAAAGCAAUGUGAACAACUUCUGACUUCGCUCUAAAGAAAAUUGGUCUGUCCCCCAUUUCCUUGCAUUCCCAUUCUUACUGGCUGAAAUUCAAAGCUGAUAAAUGGAGCUAGAGCAGAUAUCUGGGAAAAUGAGUUGAGGGUCUUACAUUAAGACUUGCCAGCAAGAAGAAGAAUUUUUCCAGGGUUCCUGACACCACCAAAUUGUUUGAUCAGCUCUGAACUCUCUACUGAGAUUCUUUAAGUAUGAGAGACAUGAACUUUGACUGGCUUAAGGAUGGUGCCUUUAGAGGUUCUGAUGAAGCGACUCAAAUGCUGGACGAUAUGGAGAAGGACCAAAGAAAUGUAGAAUCUUCCAUCCAAUUUCUAAUGAACUAUCAGAUGACAAUAUCAGGGAGAAGUUGGAGAGAAGGAAGCACCGAUCACUGGUGAAUGCUUCAUAGG